This 55-nucleotide non-coding RNA is filed under the name Metapseudomonas resinovorans NBRC 106553. Lineage: Bacteria; Pseudomonadati; Pseudomonadota; Gammaproteobacteria; Pseudomonadales; Pseudomonadaceae. The record is from RNAcentral.
CUAGUGUCCCUCCCCGUCACGGUCAAUUCCGUGACCGGGUUUGACAGCCCGCAUA